Long non-coding RNA from Thamnophis elegans (Western terrestrial garter snake), 1836 nucleotides. RefSeq lists it as uncharacterized. NCBI's taxonomy places the organism in Eukaryota, Metazoa, Chordata, Lepidosauria, Squamata, Natricidae. The record is from RefSeq and is a predicted model, not a curated record. The transcript is spliced from 3 exons.
CGCACUACGCCAAGCGGCUCGACCCUCCGGCCCACCCAUGCCCUUCCCCAGCGCCGCCAAGAAGCCCAAGGAAAGCAGGCGCCCCUCCGCCACCGCUUCGACCGCCGAGCUCCGCCAAGGACACCCGGGGCGUCGCCUCCAGCCUCCGUUUCCCCGGCUUGGAGAGCCCCUCCCCCACAGCCCGUUCCGCCCGGUGGGGAGGGGACGGAGAAGCCCCUUUGAGCGGAGGGCACAACUGGCCGCCGCCGUCUCCGCAGCGCGCGGGCAAUCGAGGCCGCCACGAGUGGAUCCCAGCCGGGCAGGGGCGGCGGGAGCCGCGCGGGGCGGGGGGAUCAUGGCACGGCCGCCCGAGGCGCUCCGGUUCCCUGCCUUCCGGGCAGCCUCGGCGGCGCUGCCUCUUCCAGGGCCGGGCGGAAGGUCCUGCCAAGGGCGCCCCCUCCCUUCGUCGCCGCCCGGCUCAAGCGCGGUGGCGCGCAGGGCCCGCGGCCCGCCACGCCUGGGAGCCGCGAGAGCGCCGCGCCACUCGGCCUUCCGGGCGGGCCGCGCUAGGCCGGGUCGGCGGGCAGCGAGCGACGCGGGCGAGACGAUCAGCUGUUCGAGGGGAGGUUCAGCGCGCCGAGCCGGAAGGGAGGCGGGCAGGAAGGGCCGCGGCUCGGAGCCGCAACAGGAAGGAAGAAGGGAAUGAGGCAGGGCUGACGUGAAGGGAUGCAAAACAGCCCCUCCUAACCCGCGCGGAGAGAGAGAAAGAGAAAGGCGCAGAGAGGAGGGAGAGCCGCCGCCGCCCUUUUAUCUCGCUUUUGUUGUCGCACUUCCUCUCGCUCCUGCCGCGCCAAGUUUUCUUUCUCCUGCAGCCCGGCUUCUCUCCCCCCUUCCGCCUCCGCGGAGACCCCGAGACCCCCCUGCUCUCCCCGGGCCAGAUGGAGCUCCGGGGGAGCUGAGCCCGGUCGCUUCCCGGUGAAACAGGACAUAAACAUCUUAGAAGCCAUCAAAAUGCUGACGAAGAACCUUUUGCUGCCCCAUAAAUCACCCUCCUUGCUAAUGGCCUCUUCCUUGAUGGGCAUGUCCUCUUCUGCUGAAUCUACUUCCGAGGGAGGGGGGAGCCAGCAUUUCCUGCUUGCCUCCCUGCCUGGCCUUCAGCACGAUCUGAACUGCUCCAGGACAAGGGCUUGCCAGGAGCUCUAGUCAAAAAGCAAGCUGGGCACCCUGACAGCCUGUGGAGUGGCUGAGGAUGAGUGAUCAGGCAUCUCAGGCAUUUUUUAAAAUGUAUUUGCAUAUAAUUUUUAUUAAGGAUUUUGAUUAGAAUAGUAAAAGUUAAUACAAACUAUAUAAAAUAAAGAAAAAAAUAGAAUAAAAAGUGAAAAAAAAUUAGGAAUAUAGUGAAGAAAGAGGAAAUAAAUAUAUAAAUAACUUCCAACCUUCAUCACACAUAUAGACAAAUUUAGUAACUCCUAAUCCCCUCCAAGAUUACAAAUAGAUUUGUCCAUAUCCCACAUCCCUUCCUUUAACAAUAAGCAAAUCCAUAAAACUUUUCAAUUCUGGUGGCAGCAAAAAAAGUCCAUAAAGGGCUGCCGGAACUUUGGAAAUAAAUGUCUUAUUUUAACCUUGAUCAAAUAAGUCAACUCUAUGCUCUUUUAUUUUAUUUUUAACAGUCACUCUUGAGUUUAUUGAAAUUCUGACAUAACAUUUGAUUUAAUUGUUUAUCCAAUUACUCCAAUAAACAUCCUUUUCCAAAUUACUUAUCCAAUUACUCAGAUUUCAUCAAGGGUUUAACAAGCUCCUUUUGUAGAUUCAAUAAAAAUUUUCCACAUCAUUUUCAGGAGCCGAGGUGGCGCAGUG